GGCAUCGCCGGGUAGCUAUGUUCGGAAGAGAUAACCGCUGAAAGCAUCUAAGCGGGAAACUCGCCUUAAGAUGAGAUAUCCCUGGGGACUAGAUCCCCUUGAAGGGUCGUUCGAGACCAGGACGUUGAUAGGUCAGGUGUGUAAGCGCAGUAAUGCGUUCAGCUAACUGAUACUAAUUGCCCGUAAGGCUUGAUCCUAUAACA
This 203-nucleotide ribosomal RNA is filed under the name Burkholderia cenocepacia. RNAcentral describes it as "partial 23S ribosomal RNA". It matches the Rfam family "Bacterial large subunit ribosomal RNA", at positions 2734 to 2925 of the family's 2925-position model. The record is from RNAcentral. Lineage: Bacteria; Pseudomonadati; Pseudomonadota; Betaproteobacteria; Burkholderiales; Burkholderiaceae.